Molecule: microRNA precursor, 82 nt
Filed under: Cajanus cajan (pigeon pea)
Lineage: Eukaryota; Viridiplantae; Streptophyta; Magnoliopsida; Fabales; Fabaceae
Description: miRNA gene-KK1_040740
Source: RNAcentral
UUAAAAGGUAUGUCUGACACAAUUUUUUAAGAUCGGUUAUAAAAGAACCGAUCUGAAAAGUUGUAUCAAACAUAACUUUUAA